CGAAGGGUGCAAGCGUUGUUCGGAAUCAUUGGGCGUAAAGCGAGCGCAGGCGGAUCAGUAAGUCAGGUGUGAAAUCUCGAGGCUCAACCUCGAAAUUGCGCCUGAAACUACUAGUCUAGAAUGUCGGAGGGGAUAGGGGAAUUUCACGUGUAGGGGUAAAAUCCGUAGAGAUGUGAAGGAACACCGGGGGCGAAGGCGCCUAUCUGGACGACUAUUGACGCUGAGGCUCGAAAGCGUGGGGAGCAAACAGGAUU
RNAcentral lists this ribosomal RNA (254 nucleotides) under uncultured bacterium. RNAcentral describes it as "partial 16S ribosomal RNA". It matches the Rfam family "Bacterial small subunit ribosomal RNA", at positions 526 to 779 of the family's 1533-position model. The record is from RNAcentral.